CUCCCCAACCGUCCAGGUGCACCGAAUGCCACCCGUCGGCAUACACCUCCCGGUCUCCCUCCACAGCUCAUACCAACACAAACCGAGAUGUGCUCCGUGUGCCCCUUGUCUUUCUCCACCACUUCUCUUCAGAAGGUUCGUACUGAGAUGCCCUGUACAACACACACCGACAAUGCCAACAUCAGCCACAAACUCGAGUUCAUCGCUAGAUUUCGUCGCUCUCGGUGAUCAGCUCGUCGAUUCCUCGCACCAGGAGCCUCUUCCCGUUAUGGCCUACCUCCAGGACUUGGUGGUGCACCUUGUUGUGACUGUUUGUCGAGUCGCCGUGUUCCGCCGGCCACGGUGACGACGCUAUCGUUUCCGUCGGAUACCAUGCGAUUCAGGCCCUGGUUCAUUCUUCUUUCUUUUUCUCUAGACUCGUGUUCAUAUCUUCAUGCCUUCCCUUCUCUCGAUUCGCAGCCGGAGUGUCUCCCACGAUGACAACCUGAGGCGGCUUCCGCUCGUCGACGACACAAGCUGUAAAAUUUCUGCUACUUCAUGGACUAUGGAAGCCCUUCCUCGAUGUCUCCAUCAACUCUCAUACUUGCAUCGCCGUCUUCAACAUCACCAUCGACAAGGUGCGGCAGCAUCGAUGUUUUGAAAGACGAAUGAGUUACGAUGAUUAGGGUUACGAGUCUAUCCUCAACAUGCUCGCCUGUGGCACAUGAAGACGAAGGACUCCAUGCUGUCUAUGUUUAUUCGUUCUGAAACUCUGGUGAUAUGCUAGCCUUGAGCUAUGUAAUUUGUAAUCCUUUAUGUAAAUUCUGGAUCAUGCGAUGUAAUAAAGACCUUUGUUUCUUGGUA
Molecule: long non-coding RNA, 843 nt
Organism: Lolium perenne
Lineage: Eukaryota; Viridiplantae; Streptophyta; Magnoliopsida; Poales; Poaceae
Source: RefSeq, a predicted model, not a curated record